AUGAACGCUGGCGGCGUGCCUAAUACAUGCAAGUCGAGCGAACAGACGAGGAGCUUGCUCCUCUGACGUUAGCGGCGGACGGGUGAGUAGCACGUGGAUAACCUACCUAUAAGACUGGGAUAACUUCGGGAAACCGGAGCUAAUACCGGAUAAUCUAUUGAACCGCAUGGUUCAAUAGUGAAAGACGGUUUUGCUGUCACUUAUAUAUGGAUCCGCGCCGCAUUAGCUAGUUGGUAAGGUAACGGCUUACCAAGGCAACGAUGCGUAGCCGACCUGAGAGGGUGAUCGGCCACACUGGAACUGAGACACGGUCCAGACUCCUACGGGAGGCAGCAGUAGGGAAUCUUCCGCAAUGGGCGAAAGCUUGACGGAGCAACGCCGCGUGAGUGAGGAAGGUCUUCGGAUCGUAAAACUCUGUUAUUAGGGAAGAACAAAUGUGUAAGUAACUAUGCACGUCUUGACGGUACCUAAUCAGAAAGCCACGGCUAACUACGUG
This 496-nucleotide ribosomal RNA is filed under the name uncultured bacterium. Its description in RNAcentral is "partial 16S ribosomal RNA". It matches the Rfam family "Bacterial small subunit ribosomal RNA", at positions 29 to 507 of the family's 1533-position model. The record is from RNAcentral.